Phyllostomus hastatus (greater spear-nosed bat) is the source of this 103-nucleotide small nuclear RNA. NCBI's taxonomy places the organism in Eukaryota, Metazoa, Chordata, Mammalia, Chiroptera, Phyllostomidae. The record is from RefSeq and is a predicted model, not a curated record.
UGCUCACUUUGGCAGCACCAGACUAACACCAGAACAAUACAGAGAAGAUGACCACGGCCGCUGCAUGAGUGACACGCAAAUUCAUGAGGCAUUCUGUAUUUUA